This 1486-nucleotide ribosomal RNA is filed under the name uncultured bacterium. RNAcentral's name for it is "16S ribosomal RNA". It matches the Rfam family "Bacterial small subunit ribosomal RNA". The record is from RNAcentral.
AGAGUUUGAUCCUGGCUCAGGAUGAACGCUAGCGGCAGGCUUAACACAUGCAAGUCGAGGGGCAGCACGGGUAGCAAUACUUGGUGGCGACCGGCGCACGGGUGAGUAACGCGUAUGCAACCUACCCAUAACAGGGGGAUAGCUUCCGGAAACGGAAAUUAAUACCCCAUGGUACCACAAGGCCGCAUGGCCCAAUGGUUAAAACUCCGGUGGUUAUGGAUGGGCAUGCGUGCCAUUAGCUAGUUGGCGGGGUAACGGCCCACCAAGGCAACGAUGGCUAGGGGGUCUAAAAGGAUGAUCCCCCACACUGGUACUGAGACACGGACCAGACUCCUACGGGAGGCAGCAGUGAGGAAUAUUGGUCAAUGGGCGGGAACUCUGAACCAGCCAUCCCGCGUGCAGGAUGACGGCCCUAUGGGUUGUAAACUGCUUUUAUACACCAAGAAAAAUCCCCACGUGUGGGGACCCGACGGUAGUGUAUGAAUAAGCAUCGGCUAACUCCGUGCCAGCAGCCGCGGUAAUACGGAGGAUGCAAGCGUUAUCCGGAUUCAUUGGGUUUAAAGGGUGCGUAGGCGGCUUUUUAAGUCAGUGGUGAAAUCCUGCCGCUUAACGGUAGAAUUGCCAUUGAUACUGAAAAGCUUGAGUACAUUUGAGGUAAGCGGAAUGUGUAGUGUAGCGGUGAAAUGCUUAGAUAUUACACAGAACACCAAUUGCGAAGGCAGCUUACUAAACUGAUACUGACGCUGAUGCACGAAAGCGUGGGGAGCGAACAGGAUUAGAUACCCUGGUAGUCCACGCCGUAAACGAUGCUCACUCGCUGUUUGCGAUACAUUGCCAGUGACUGAGCGAAAGCAUUAAGUACUCCACCUGGGGAGUACGAUCGCAAGGUUGAAACUCAAAGGAAUUGACGGGGGCCCGCACAAGCGGAGGAACAUGUGGUUUAAUUCGAUGAUACGCGAGGAACCUUACCUGGGCUUAAAUGUAGGCUGCAUUCGGCUGAAAGGCUGAUUCCCUUCGGGGCUGCUUACAAGGUGCUGCAUGGUUGUCGUCAGCUCGUGCCGUGAGGUGUCGGGUUAAGUCCCAUAACGAGCGCAACCCUUAUCGUUAGUUGCCAGCGGGUCAAGCCGGGGACUCUAGCGAGACUGCCACCGUAAGGUGAGAGGAAGGUGGGGAUGACGUCAAAUCAGCACGGCCCUUAUGUCCAGGGCUACACACGUGUUACAAUGGCCAAUACAAAGGGCAGCUACCGGGUGACCGGAUGCUAAUCUCUAAAGUUGGUCUCAGUUCGGAUCGAAGUCUGCAACCCGACUUCGUGAAGCUGGAUUCGCUAGUAAUCGCAUAUCAGCCAUGAUGCGGUGAAUACGUUCCCGGGCCUUGUACACACCGCCCGUCAAACAAUGGAAGCUGGGGGUACCUGAAGUCUGUAACCGCAAGGAGCGGCCUAGGGUAAAACUAGUAACUGGUGUUAAGUCGUAACAAGGUAACC